Long non-coding RNA from Astatotilapia calliptera (eastern happy), 2746 nucleotides. The record is from Ensembl. NCBI's taxonomy places the organism in Eukaryota, Metazoa, Chordata, Actinopteri, Cichliformes, Cichlidae.
GUUAAAAUGUUUCUCAGACCAGUUUCAGAGAUUGUUGUUUUGCUUGCAGAGACUGAAUGAAUAUUCUUCAAUGCUAGAUGAUGUUUGAAUAUGUUGUAUUGAUGUUUAUUGUGAUAUAAUGUGUGUAUAUCAAGCGGGGAGUGUUAUGCCCUUGAGUCAAAAGUCAGCGGUUGGUGUGUGUGCUGAUUGAGCCACAUAAGCAGAGUGAUAAAUAAGCUCAGAGUGAGACAUCAUUUCCACAAGAGAUCUUUGUAUCCUAUGUGCGGAAAUGGAGCGAGGGAGCGUCCUGUUCACUAACCUAUCUUUGAUGUACCCUUUCGUUUAUGAUGGGAAAAAGUGCUCCGGCAGUUAUUAAAUAGGGACUAGUUCAUGUUCACGCUAAGAGUGCUCUACACGUUCGCACCUCGGAAAACGUUCGUCUUUUUACAUAAAAACAAGAAAGUCAAGCCUUGUGUGGAAGACCUCUUCUAUUUGUUCGCUAGCUGUCUAACCUCACAGGGUCACGUGUCGUGAGGGCAGCAUAACAAUAAAAUACCUAAGAUCAUAAAUGAACCUGAACAUAAGCUUCAGAGCCCUUGCUGCUCAUGCCUGGUUCAAGCCUUGCUCUGAAACUAUGCCUCCCCCGAGCCUGCCGGCAAAUGUGGCCACACUGCCUCCAGCGACCCCGCCACCGUCAUCCCCUCAAGGAUGGAACUCAUACCCGGGCCUCGCGAAUCUCCCUGGGAAUCUCCAAACCAGACACCCGGCAAGUCUUCAGGGUCCACCGCCUCACUUAUGCCCAUUGUUACGUUUCGGUGUUGUCAGUGUUUUGUUUUUUGCGUGACUGUCAUGUAUUUCCUGCUUUACUUUGAAAGUCUGUGUUAUCUCAGUGUGUUCAGUUUACGUUUCCUUGUCUCGUCAGGUCUAAUUUGCCCCAGCUGUGUUUCCCUCCUGUGGUCCAUUCCCUGAUUGCUCCUUCUAUGUAUUUAAGCCUUGUGUUUCAGUAUGUCAUGGUCGCGAUCUCCCCCUGUGUUGUAAAUAAAUAGUUUGUUGUAAAUAGCUGUGAAUGGAUUUGUCAAUACUUUCGUUUUGGGAUUUUGGUGGAGAGCCUUAGUGUUUUUUUUCUCGUGUGUCUUUUCCUUAUUUUUAUUUUCUUGCGUUGCACGCCGGUUGCCUAGGCCGGGGUGUAACACCAUCGAGCAGAUAUUUCACGGCUGUAAAUACUUGGAGAUAUGUGGAUGUUACCAGUCAUCAUCGUUCCCCCAGUCAAGUACAUUGAGAGAACACACCACUAGUAUUUAAUCAAUCAAUCAAUCAAUCAAUCAAUCAAUCAAAGCUUUAUUCGCCACGUGCAGGUUGCACACACACAACACAGACAUUACAUGGGGAUACAGGUCAGAGAUCGGUAGCGUUACAGAAAAACACUGAAAUAUACACUACAAUGGGAAAGUACAAGAGGAAAAAAAGAGAGCUCUGCUCAUGCUGGGCUCCUGGGAGGACAGCAUGAGAACAGAAAACGAAAAAACUCCUCUGCACAAAGAAGCACAUAAAUGUCCACAGCACAACAUUAUGGAGCACGCGACCAGCCACAGGGUCGGGUGGGGGGUGAAGAGUAAUCCGAAGCAAACACAGCAGCCAUCCUGCCCAGCGCUACCAUUCCAGCGCGGGCUCAGACUCGCCGUGUUCUCAGGAGGGAACAAGAUUCGAAGGCAUUUGGAAAGGGAGGGGGGAUGAGUGUGUGCAUAUCACUGUAUAUGUAUGUGUGUGUGUGUGUGUCCAUAGUUCAGCUGAGACAGUGUCCUUCGCCCUGCCAGGCUAGGUAAAAACAGUCUUCCAGCCAACCCAGGUGGCCUUGCAUGGAAUGAGAAGGUACAGACUAAACAGUCGUUAUCAGGGUGUUUUUGUUGGGCUCCAGCCUUGAGACCGCAGCUGGCGCCGAAUGUAUGGCACUUUUUCUAUUUGUUCCAGAAAUAAGCUCACGAAAUUUAAAAAGGGAGAUCACGUGAGAUUGUCUCAAGUUAGAGGUGUGUUUGAUAAACGCUAUGAACAGACUUUCACGGAUGAAAUAUUCACUAUAGACCAAUGCAUACCUAGGGAUCCUCCGGUUUGUAAAAUCAAAGAUUACGAUGGGGAACUAAUUAUCUGUGGUUUUUACGAGCAUGAGCCACAGAAAAUCAAUGUGGUUGUGGGUAAGCUGUAUCAUAUAGAGAGCAUUCUGACAAAACGUAAACAGAGGGGGCAAAUGUAUUUCCUGUCAAAUGGGGAAACUGGCCUGAAAAGUUUAAUAGCUGGAUUAAAGCCAGUGACCUUAAAAACCUAAAAUAAAAACCUUCCACCUCAUUUCAUGCUGGUGACAUGACUCUCAGGUCUCAAGGCUUUUACGUAACACUACCUUCAAACGCUAGCCUAAAUGUAUUUAAAAAUAACACGAGUAGCAGUUUCCGUGAGGAUCUCGCCCAGUAUCUCUAUCUCGAUGGGCCCUGGGAGGUGGCUGUCAUUAAAAUUUCCUAUCCCUAUACAUGGUUCAAUCUUCCAAAUGAUAUGGCAUACUUUGAAUGGAGGAAAAAGAGUGAUGCAGAGCAGAAGCCCGCUGAUGUUGAUAAGCAAAAAAUAUUUUUUUAUGGUUUUUAUGAGGAUCCUAACAUGCUGAGAUCACAGAUUGAUGAUGCCUGCCUUAGACGUAUUGAAUUUGAUAUUUUUCUCAAAUAUAACCCAAUUCAGAAAAAGUCUGAAUUUUCAUCUGGUGGAAUAUAUCAUCUCAGAGUUU